This 64-nucleotide transfer RNA is filed under the name Dipodomys ordii (Ord's kangaroo rat). It matches the Rfam family "tRNA". From Rfam's summary of the family: Transfer RNA (tRNA) molecules are approximately 80 nucleotides in length. Their secondary structure includes four short double-helical elements and three loops (D, anti-codon, and T loops). The record is from Rfam by way of RNAcentral. Lineage: Eukaryota; Metazoa; Chordata; Mammalia; Rodentia; Heteromyidae.
GGUGGCUCAGUGGUAGAGCGCUUACCUUGCAUGCAUGAGGCCCUGGAUUCGAUCCUCAGCACCA